AAUAUUCUCUCCAUACAUACACAGAGUAGUGUGUAUAUGCUUUUAAACUUUUUAUGUGAGAUGAAGAAUCAGUGCAGUUGUGAGAUGCGAUGCAGAGACGCCCAUGACCAUUCACCCCGUCUCCCUAGGUAACGCCCCAUGAACCUGCAGACCGACAGCUCCGCAUCACAACCUAAAGCUGAGCUUGUGCAGCUGCAGACUUGCCCAUGCCAUACCUGAAACAAAGCAUCCUUCUCUUUCCUGAUGAUGUUGUGCAAACAAGAUGGUUCUCCUUGCUUCUCAGACCACCAGCUCUGCUUCUCAUCUGGCCCAGCCUCCUGUGAAGUCAUAGCUCUGUGAUAUGGCAGCCGUUACCAAGAUGGAAAUGAUUAGGACGUCACGGGAGCUGGCACAGAAUGGCCCAUGUUCCGGACAGGACCAGGACCCCGGGUCCCAGCCACAGCUCUGCUGUCCGCCCAGUCCCGCUUGGUGGCUGGGGAAAGCCUCUUCGCCUUCCCCAAGUCAGUCCUCGCGGUCUGCUGGUCAUGGCCUCAGAAGCUUGGAUGCCUGCGCCUGGACCAGCUGUUGUCUGUUGUCCGUGGGGAUGCUAGGCUCCCCCGGGUAAUGGGAUGAGGCAAGCCUUUCUGGGACACCUUUCAAGUUGGGAAACUGGAGCACAGGCUCUGAGAGAAGGCAGC
This is a long non-coding RNA of Odocoileus virginianus texanus, 677 nucleotides long. RefSeq lists it as uncharacterized. Lineage: Eukaryota; Metazoa; Chordata; Mammalia; Artiodactyla; Cervidae. The record is from RefSeq and is a predicted model, not a curated record.